GAUGAACGCUGGCGGCGUGCCUAAUACAUGCAAGUCGAGCGAACAGACGAGGAGCUUGCUCCUCUGACGUUAGCGGCGGACGGGUGAGUAACACGUGGAUAACCUACCUAUAAGACUGGGAUAAUUUCGGGAAACCGGAGCUAAUACCGGAUAAUAUAUUGAACCGCAUGGUUCAAUAGUGAAAGACGGUUUUGCUGUCACUUAUAGAUGGAUCAGCGCCGCAUUAGCUAGUUGGUAAGGUAACGGCUUACCAAGGCAACGAUGCGUAGCCGACCUGAGAGGGUGAUCGGCCACACUGGAACUGAGACACGGUCCACACUCCUACGGGAGGCAGCAGUAGGGAAUCUUCCGCAAUGGGCGAAAGCCUGACGGAGCAACGCCGCGUGAGUGAUGAAGGUCUUCGGAUCGUAAAACUCUGUUAUUAGGGAAGAACAAAUGUGUAAGUAACUAUGCACGUCUUGACGGUACCUAAUCAGAAAGCCACGGCUAACUACGUG
Molecule: ribosomal RNA, 497 nt
Filed under: uncultured bacterium
Lineage: Bacteria
Description: partial 16S ribosomal RNA
Rfam family: Bacterial small subunit ribosomal RNA
Source: RNAcentral